Molecule: ribosomal RNA, 371 nt
Filed under: uncultured bacterium
Lineage: Bacteria
Description: bacterial SSU rRNA
Rfam family: Bacterial small subunit ribosomal RNA
Source: RNAcentral
AACGAACGCUGGCGGCAGGCCUAACACAUGCAAGUCGAGCGCCCCGCAAGGGGAGCGGCAGACGGGUGAGUAACGCGUGGGAAACUACCCUUUGGUACGGAACAACUCGGCGAAAGCUGAGCUAAUACCGUAUGUGUCCUUCGGGAGGAAAGAAUUUAUCGCCAAAGGAUGUGCCCGCGUCGGAUUAGCUAGUUGGUGGGGUAACGGCCCGACCAAGGCGACGAUCCGUAGCUGGUCUGAGAGGAUGAUCAGCCACACUGGGACUGAGACACGGCCCAGACUCCUACGGGAGGCAGCAGUGGGGAAGUAUUGGACAAUGGGGGCGAACCCUGAUCCAGCCAUGCCGCGUGAGUGAUGAAGGCCUUAGGGUU